UAGGGAAUCUUCGGCAAUGGGGGGAACCCUGACCGAGCAACGCCGCGUGAGUGAAGAAGGUUUUCGGAUCGUAAAGCUCUGUUGUUAAGGAAGAACGAGUGUGAGAAUGGAAAGUUCAUGCUGUGACAGUACUUAACCAGAAAGGGACGGCUAACUACGUGCCAGCAGCCGCGGUAAUACGUAGGUCCCGAGCGUUGUCCGGAUUUAUUGGGCGUAAAGCGAGCGCAGGCGGUUAGAAAAGUCUGAAGUGAAAGGCAGUGGCUCAACCAUUGUAGGCUUUGGAAACUGUUUAACUUGAGUGCAGAAGGGGAGAGUGGAAUUCCAUGUGUAGCGGUGAAAUGCGUAGAUAUAUGGAGGAACACCGGUGGCGAAAGCGGCUCUCUGGUCUGUAACUGACGCUGAGGCUCGAAAGCGUGGGGAGCGAACAGG
Molecule: ribosomal RNA, 429 nt
Filed under: Verrucomicrobiota bacterium
Lineage: Bacteria; Pseudomonadati; Verrucomicrobiota
Description: Verrucomicrobia bacterium partial 16S ribosomal RNA
Rfam family: Bacterial small subunit ribosomal RNA
Source: RNAcentral